RNAcentral lists this ribosomal RNA (376 nucleotides) under uncultured bacterium. Its description in RNAcentral is "bacterial SSU rRNA". It matches the Rfam family "Bacterial small subunit ribosomal RNA", at positions 524 to 898 of the family's 1533-position model. The record is from RNAcentral.
UACGUAGGGGGCAAGCGUUGUCCGGAUUUAUUGGGCGUAAAGAGCGUGUAGGCGGCCAGGUAGGUCUGGUGUGAAAACUCGAGGCUCAACCUCGAGAGGUCAUCGGAAACCAUCUGGCUAGAGUCCGGAAGAGGAGAGUGGAAUUCCCGGUGUAGCGGUGAAAUGCGCAGAUAUCGGGAAGAACACCUAUGGCGAAGGCAGCUCUCUGGGACGGUACUGACGCUGAGACGCGAAAGCGUGGGGAGCGAACAGGAUUAGAUACCCUGGUAGUCCACGCCGUAAACGAUGGGUGCUAGGUGUGGGUGGUGUCGACUCCAUCCGUGCCGCAGCUAACGCAUUAAGCACCCCGCCUGGGGAGUACGGCCGCAAGGCUAAA